ACUCCUACGGGAGGCAGCAGUAGGGAAUCUUCCGCAAUGGACGAAAGUCUGACGGAGCAACGCCGCGUGAGUGAUGAAGGUUUUCGGAUCGUAAAACUCUGUUGUUAGGGAAGAACAAGUACCGUUCGAAUAGGGCGGUACCUUGACGGUACCUAACCAGAAAGCCACGGCUAACUACGUGCCAGCAGCCGCGGUAAUACGUAGGUGGCAAGCGUUGUCCGGAAUUAUUGGGCGUAAAGCGCGCGCAGGUGGUUUCUUAAGUCUGAUGUGAAAAGCCCCCGGCUCAACGGGAGGGUCAUUGGAAACUGGGAGACUUGAGUGCAGAAGAGGAAAGUGGAAUUCCAAGUGUAGCGGUGAAAUGCGUAGAGAUCUGGAGGAAUACCGGUGGCGAAGGCGGCCCCCUGGACAAAGACUGACGCUCAGGCACGAAAGCGUGGGGAGCAAACAGGAUUAGAUA
Molecule: ribosomal RNA, 457 nt
Filed under: uncultured bacterium
Lineage: Bacteria
Description: bacterial SSU rRNA
Rfam family: Bacterial small subunit ribosomal RNA
Source: RNAcentral